This 563-nucleotide ribosomal RNA is filed under the name uncultured bacterium. RNAcentral describes it as "bacterial SSU rRNA". It matches the Rfam family "Bacterial small subunit ribosomal RNA", at positions 338 to 916 of the family's 1533-position model. The record is from RNAcentral.
CCUACGGGAGGCAGCAGUGGGGAAUCUUGCGCAAUGGGCGAAAGCCUGACGCAGCAACGCCGCGUGCGGGAAGAAGGCCUUCGGGUUGUAAACCGCUUUCAGCAGGAACGAAAAUGACGGUACCUGCAGAAGAAGGUGCGGCCAACUAUGUGCCAGCAGCCGCGGUGAUACAUAGGCACCAAGCGUUGUCCGGAUUUAUUGGGCGUAAAGAGCUCGUAGGCGGUUCAGUCAGUCGGGUGUGAAAACUCUGGGCUUAACCCAGAGCCUGCACCCGAUACUGCUGUGACUAGAGUUCGGUAGGGGAGCGGGGAAUUCCUGGUGUAGCGGUGAAAUGCGCAGAUAUCAGGAGGAACACCGAUGGCGAAGGCACCGCUCUGGGCCGAAACUGACGCUGAGGAGCGAAAGCAUGGGUAGCAAACAGGAUUAGAUACCCUGGUAGUCCAUGCCGUAAACGUUGGGCACUAGGUGUGGGUUCCAAUCAACGGAAUCCGCGCCGUCGCUAACGCAUUAAGUGCCCCGCCUGGGGAUACGGUCGCAAGACUAAAACUCAAAGGAAUUGACGG